Molecule: transfer RNA, 77 nt
Filed under: Candidatus Nomurabacteria bacterium CG1_02_31_12
Lineage: Bacteria; Candidatus Nomuraibacteriota
Also listed under: 2 other names
Description: tRNA-Val
Rfam family: tRNA
About the family: Transfer RNA (tRNA) molecules are approximately 80 nucleotides in length. Their secondary structure includes four short double-helical elements and three loops (D, anti-codon, and T loops).
Source: RNAcentral
GGGCGGUUAGCUCAUUUGGCUAGAGCGCGUCGUUGACGUCGACGAGGCAACAAGUUCGAAUCUUGUACCGCCCACCU